AGAGCGAACGCUGGCGGCAUGCUUAACACAUGCAAGUCGCACGGGCAGCAAUGUCAGUGGCGGACGGGUGAGUAACGCGUAGGUAUCUAUCCUUGGGUGGGGGACAACGGCUGGAAACGGCUGCUAAUACCGCAUGAUAACUGAGGUUUAAAGGCGCAAGUCGCCUGGGGAGGAGCCUGCGUACGAUUAGCUAGUUGGUGGGGUAAAGGCCUACCAAGGCAACGAUCGUUAGCUGGUCUGAGAGGAUGAUCAGCCACAUUGGGACUGAGACACGGCCCAAACUCCUACGGGAGGCAGCAGUGGGGAAUAUUGGACAAUGGGCGAAAGCCUGAUCCAGCAAUGCCGCGUGUGUGAAGAAGGUCUUCGGAUUGUAAAGCACUUUCGACAGGGACGAUGAUGACGGUACCUGUAGAAGAAGCCCGGCUAACUUCGCGCCAGCAGCCGC
RNAcentral lists this ribosomal RNA (445 nucleotides) under uncultured bacterium. RNAcentral describes it as "SSU rRNA". It matches the Rfam family "Bacterial small subunit ribosomal RNA", at positions 26 to 518 of the family's 1533-position model. The record is from RNAcentral.